GAGGCCAUUCAUGAAGGGUAAACUGUACAUUCAUUUCAUCGUGGAAUUCCCGGAUUCGUUGAGCCUGCCACAGGUGCAGCUUCUGGAGGCAAUGUUACCAUCAAGACCUACAUCACAGUACUCUGACAUGGAACUGGAUGAAUGUGAGGAGACCACAUUGCAUGAUGUGAAUAUGGAGGAAGAAAUGAGAAGGAAACAAGCUGCACAACAAGAAGCAUAUGAUGAGGAUGAAGAGAUGUCUGGUGGUGGAGGGCAGAGAGUACAGUGUGCUCAACAGUAGAUGUAGCAAGAUUUACCAGUUUGAACUUUGCUUAUAGUUUAGUUUGGUUUACUGUUUUCUGUUGUUUUGGAAAUGACAUGUUUUGGGAAGUCAAAAAACUGAUGCUUUAGUGAAAUAGAAAUAUAAUUUUCUUGGGG
Molecule: unclassified non-coding RNA, 417 nt
Filed under: Hevea brasiliensis (rubber tree)
Lineage: Eukaryota; Viridiplantae; Streptophyta; Magnoliopsida; Malpighiales; Euphorbiaceae
Source: RNAcentral